CCUACGAGUGACAGCAGUGGGGAAUAUUGCACAAUGGGGGAAACCCUGAUGCCGCGACGCCGCGUGAAGGAUGAAGUAUUUCGUUAUGUACACUUCUAUCAGCAGGGAAGACAAUGACGGUACCUGACUAAGAAUCCCCGGCUAACUACGUGCCAGCAGCCGCGGUAAUACGUAGGGGGCAAGCUGUAUCCGGUUUUACUGGGUGUAAAGGGAGCGUAGACGGCAUGGCAAGUCUGAUGUGAAAACCCGGGGCUCAACCCCGGGACUGCAUUGGACACUGUCAGGCUAGAGUGUCGGAGAGGCAAGUGGAAUGCCUAGUGUAGCGGUGAAAUGCGUAGAUAGUAGGAGGAACACCAGUGGCGAAGGCGGCUUGCUGGACGAUGACUGACGUUGAGGCUCGAAAGCGUGGGGAGCAAACAGGAUUAGAUACCCUUGUAGUC
RNAcentral lists this ribosomal RNA (440 nucleotides) under uncultured bacterium. Its description in RNAcentral is "partial 16S ribosomal RNA". It matches the Rfam family "Bacterial small subunit ribosomal RNA", at positions 338 to 795 of the family's 1533-position model. The record is from RNAcentral.